This 336-nucleotide long non-coding RNA is filed under the name Capsicum annuum. Its description in RNAcentral is "long non-coding RNA (CANN_LNC016285)". The record is from RNAcentral. Lineage: Eukaryota; Viridiplantae; Streptophyta; Magnoliopsida; Solanales; Solanaceae.
CAGUAUUUUAGAUAUUCGUUGUUUAUCAUUUUAUUCUUCUAAAGUAAAUGUAUAAUAAUCUAUUCUACUUGUACUAUAUUUAAUAUCUUGUUUGAGGUUAUUAAUAUUACUAACUAUUUUUUCUUGUUCUCUUCUUAAUGAAUUUUUUAAACUAUCUAAACUUUUAUCUUUGCUUUUUUCUAAAUUUUUCAAGGUUUCGUCUAUCCAUUUUAAUUUUUCUAUUAGAUUUUUCAUUAUUUCUCUAAUUUGUUUUCUAUAAUCAAUUUCUUUAUGUAGGUCUUCUUGGUUUUCUCUAAUUUUCUUGAUAUAUUCUGACAUUUUUAGUCUGUAUAAUAU